GAGUUUGAUCGUGGCUCAGGAUGAACGCUGGCGGCGUGCCUAAUACAUGCAAGUCGAACGAACAGAUAAGGAGCUUGCUCCUUUGACGUUAGCGGCGGACGGGUGAGUAACACGUGGGUAACCUACCUAUAAGACUGGGAAUAACUCCGGAAACCGGGGCUAAUGCCGGAUAACAUGUUGAACCGCAUGGUUCUACAGUGAAAGACGGUCUUGCUGGUCACUUAUAGAUGGACCCGCGCCGUAUUAGCUAGUUGGUGGGGUAACGGCUACCAAGGCGACGAUACGUAGCCGACCUGAGAGGGUGAUCGGCCACACUGGAACUGAGACACGGUCCAGACUCCUACGGGAGGCAGCAGUAGGGAAUCUUCCGCAAUGGGCGAAAGCCUGACGGAGCAACGCCGCGUGAGUGAUGAAGGUCUUCGGAUCGU
Molecule: ribosomal RNA, 428 nt
Filed under: uncultured microorganism
Description: bacterial SSU rRNA
Rfam family: Bacterial small subunit ribosomal RNA
Source: RNAcentral